AGGACGAACGCUGGCGGCGUGCCUAACACAUGCAAGUCGAACGAGGUCCAACCGGUAGCAAUACCGGUGAAGAUCAAGUGGCGAACGGGUGAGUAGCACGUGAGCAACCUGCCCCGAAGACCGGGACAACACCGGGAAACCGGUGCUAAUACCGGAUAUCCCCACUGAGUCGCAUGGCUCGGUGAGGAAAUGGAUUCCGCUUCGGGAGGGGCUCGCGGCCUAUCAGCUUGUUGGUGAGGUAACGGCUCACCAAGGCUUCGACGGGUAGCUGGUCUGAGAGGACGAUCAGCCACACUGGGACUGAGACACGGCCCAGACUCCUACGGGAGGCAGCAGUGGGGAAUCUUGCACAAUGGGCGCAAGCCUGAUGCAGCAACGCCGCGUGAGGGACGAAGGCUUUCUGAGUUGUAAACCUCUUUCAGCAGGGACGAUUGUGACGGUACUGCAGAAGAGCCCGGCAACUACGUGCCAGCAGCCGCGGUAU
Molecule: ribosomal RNA, 484 nt
Filed under: uncultured bacterium
Lineage: Bacteria
Description: SSU rRNA
Rfam family: Bacterial small subunit ribosomal RNA
Source: RNAcentral